Molecule: ribosomal RNA, 301 nt
Filed under: uncultured bacterium
Lineage: Bacteria
Description: partial 16S ribosomal RNA
Rfam family: Bacterial small subunit ribosomal RNA
Source: RNAcentral
CAGCCGCCGCGGGAAUACGUAUGUCACAAGCGUUAUCCGGGUUUAUUGGGCGUAAAGCGCGUCUAGGUGGUUAUAUAAGUCUGAUGUGAAAAUGCAGGGCUCAACUCUGUAUUGCGUUGGAAACUGUGUAACUAGAGUACUGGAGAGGUAAGCGGAACUACAAGUGUAGAGGUGAAAUUCGCAGAUAUUUGUAGGAAUGCCGAUGGGGAAGCCAGCUUACUGGACAGAUACUGACGCUAAAGCGCGAAAGCGUGGGUAGCAAACAGGAUUAGAUACCCCUGUAGUCCCUGUCUCUUAUACA